UAUGAAACAAAAUAUCAAUAUCCCUUAUGGUUACAAUACAGUUUAAAACAAUUCAGAAGGUUCAAAAAAUAAUCAAAUGGUCCAAAACAAAAUAUGGUCCGUGUAGCAGUCCAACAGGUCCAACACAGUUCAGCCCACUUGAACAAGUCCAAUCACAAUCGCACACUUGACCUCUAGCAGGAGUCCAAGAGCAAUCGUACAGUUCCACAAUCCAAUCGCACAAUAUGUCAAUCGCAUAAUUUGACACUUUCGAUUGCACAAAUUGACACUCUCAAAUGAGCCUUUUGGUCAAUCGCACAAGUUGACACUUUUAAGUGAACGUUUAGCCAAUCGCACAAGUUGUCACCUUCAACUGAAUCUUUAGCCAAUCGCACUAGUUGUCACCUUCAACUGAACCUUUAGCCAAUCGCACAAGUUGUCAAUCGCACAGUUCCAAUAUCAACAGUUCAAAUGAACAGUUGAUCGCACAAGAUACGCCCAAUCGCACACCUUGUUAUGGAUCGCACAAGUGGUUAAAUUGGGCCUGAAUCCUUAAAAGCCCAAUUAAUUUGCAAUCGCACACCUGUUUUGGAUCACACAAGCUUGGACUUGAUUCCUUAACAGUACAAACAAUUCACAAUCGCACAACUUAUUUUUGGAAAUAUGAUCACACAAAUUUUCAACCACAAUCCCGAGAAAUAUGGUGAUUGAAUUUUCAAAUCUGUUUGAGGAUUUCCUGCAACAACUUUCCAAAAUUCCUGCAAACACAAUCAAUCUUGCACACAAACGGAUCAAAUCCCACUUUUAUUCAAAAAUUUUGAUGAAUAUUUGAUGAUCUUCGAAGCAGAAACACCCAGAAAUUUAAAAUUUUCACUGAACUUUUAACUGAAAAUAAGAACUUUUGGGUUUUAAAACUUUCAAUUUCACAGACCAGAGAAUUUGAAUAUCAAAAAUCAAUAGUCAAUUCUCAAUUCUGACAUUAAAAUCAGUUUAUUUUCACAAAAGCUUUUGCCAAAACAAAUCAGAAUUUGAGAUUAAAUGCUUUGUUUUGUCUCACAAUAUAGCAGUUUGAUUUUGAACAAAACAGAAAACAACUUCAAGAUCUGUGUUCGAGCCUUAACUUGGGUCGAUAUUUAGAUGUAAUUAAUCAGUUUUUCAAGAAGAAAAAUAUGCAACUCACACCCUCUAUAUCCCAAGAAACAGUCGACAAGAAAGAAAAGUAUAAAUUGAACUGAAAUAAACGAAAAAUCAGACCUUUCUUUGUCGAAUCUGAACACCGAUCAACAGCAAAACACACUUCAAUCUUCAAGAUAUCCGAUCAAAAACCCAGCCUUCGCAAGACCACUUAGGCUUUGAUACCAAUUGUAAGUCCCAAAAAAAUACAAUUGGAUAUCAAACACCAAACAAGUAGUGGAAUUACAAGUAAGAUGUAGAAGAUUGAACAAGCAAUGCAUUGAUUCCAAGCAAAACCGAGCACACGAUCUAUGAUCGUUUGGUACUCUUGAUCGAUUACAAGCACAAGUUUUUCAGAGAAUCAACAACCAAAAAUGACUAAGGAAUCCCCUAUUUAUACAAGCAUAGGAGAUCCUAUUACAUUGGGCCAAGUGUUAGGACCGGUUUUCGACUCCGAAACGAUUGCGUAUGACACGUUCGACGUGCGGAAUCCGUGAACAUGCGUGACCGAACACACGAGAACGUACUAAAUCUGUGAUUCCAUUGAUAAUAUGAAAAGUACAAAUGAACCGUGAAUCACCUCUUGCACUUUCUCUCUCUAGUUUCUCUCUCUAGGGUCCAAGCUCUCCAAAGUAGCAAAUGUGCAAAAGUCUCCAAAAGUUCUAAAUGAGAACCCUAAUGGUGCUAUUUAUAGAUUUUCCAUUUCUCUCUCACCACCUUCUUUCUUCAUUCAUUCAUUCAUUGAGCAUAUUCCUCCGGGGUUUCAUGUUACACUAGAUCUCAAUAUUUCCAUUGAAGAUCCCUUUCUCCAACCAUUAGUAGAAGAAAUUCUAGGUUUUUUAAAUCAUGUUCAUCAUGUUUGUUGCAUUAAAUUUAUUUAUGUUCAUCACUUGAGUAAUUAUUUUUUUGUGAAAGUGUAAUAACUUCAAUAAAUAGUUUUUCUCAUUUUUAGAAACUGUCACAUUUAAUGACGUUUUUUUUGGUAAACAUCGAGAUAUAGACAAACCUUUAGAUUAACACAGUUGACGAGAAGAAAAACCUUGACUUGAUGAAAACUUCAUUUCAUGAUGUCUUUGUUUUUUUUUGCUGUUGCAUUCAAGCUUGUUUUUCAUGUAACAAAGACGUAUUCAACUCAGUAUAUAAAUUUUGUAGAUGGUUGUGAAGGUAAUUAAGAGAGAGAGAGAGAGAGUGGAAAGGACGGACAAUGUGAUUCAAAGAGAGAGAAUGAGAUGAAUAUUUUUUUUCUGGGGAGAAUUAAACGUGCUUCACCCUGCUCACGUUCCCGAUAAGAGUACCUUCUUCUUGAUGUGUCUGGCAUGUUUAUGAGUAAUCUACACAUAAUGGCAUCAAGUUGUUGAUCUUCUUGAAAAACUUGUGCUUCCCAUUCAUUAUACUCACUCGAUGAAUCAGAUCUCUCAGAUGAGUUUUCACUAUUAGACAUUUUAGAAGUUAAUAUUU
This 2610-nucleotide long non-coding RNA is filed under the name Helianthus annuus (common sunflower). Its description in RNAcentral is "hypothetical non coding rna". Lineage: Eukaryota; Viridiplantae; Streptophyta; Magnoliopsida; Asterales; Asteraceae. The record is from RNAcentral.